RNAcentral lists this ribosomal RNA (146 nucleotides) under uncultured bacterium. RNAcentral's name for it is "partial 16S ribosomal RNA". It matches the Rfam family "Bacterial small subunit ribosomal RNA", at positions 355 to 514 of the family's 1533-position model. The record is from RNAcentral.
UGGGGAAUAUUGGGCAAUGGGCGCAAGCCUGACCCAGCAACGCCGCGUGAAGGAAGAAGGCCCUCGGGUUGUAAAACUUCUUUUAUUCGGGACGAAACAAAUGACGGUACCGAAUGAAUAAGCCACGGCUAACUACGUGCCAGCAG